RNAcentral lists this ribosomal RNA (643 nucleotides) under Tuber melosporum. RNAcentral's name for it is "eukaryotic LSU rRNA". The stretch from base 266 to 419 matches the Rfam family "5.8S ribosomal RNA". Lineage: Eukaryota; Fungi; Ascomycota; Pezizomycetes; Pezizales; Tuberaceae. The record is from RNAcentral.
CUUGGUCAUUUAGAGGAAGUAAAAGUCGUAACAAGGUUUCCGUAGGUGAACCUGCGGAAGGAUCAUUAUGCAUUCAUGGGAUACCACAUGGUUCCCUGACCCGAAUCCUCCCUGUGUACCUAUCCAUGUUGCUUUCCCAGGUGGUCGGUCGGUCAUGGUGGUCGACCAACUUUACCACUCGGUCCCUGGGAGAGGGACUAUCCAAAGCGAAUAAUUCAAUCAGCUGUCUGAGUUGGCCGAGUGCCGUAUUCUUUGAACAAGUUAAAACUUUCAACAACGGAUCUCUUGGCUCUCGCAUCGAUGAAGAACGCAGCGAAAUGCGAUAAGUAAUGUGAAUUGCAGAAUUCAGUGAAUCAUCGAAUCUUUGAACGCACAUUGCGCCCCUCGGUAUUCCUUGGGGCAUGCCUGUUCGAGCGUCACUGAAAACCCCCUCAUAGAUAUUAUGGUACUGACGGAAGUGAGCCAAGGUUACAGAAUGUGCCCGGAUCACCCCGUUGAAAUGCAUGGGCAGGACAAUCAACUUAGGCAACGGACUUAGUAACUGUUUUAAGGACAUAAGCCAGUCCCUUGUCAGGUGGUGGCCUCGCCUCCAUGGACCUCCAUCCAAGACGAACUCUGGGUUGACCUCGGAUCAGGUAGGGAU